AAGAAGUUAUUUGAGGAUCUGUUCAUUCCUUAGAGGGAGCAGGUAUCUUUGGGAGUCCUUUACUUGGCAGGCGAUGCACAUGCUUGGUGGAGGAGAGUGAGGCGAGAUCAGGGACUGGUAGCGUUGCAGCUGAGAUGGGAUGAGUUCUGUGGAAUACUGUAUGGGAUGUAUUUUUCCAACAGUGUGAAACAGAAGCUCAAGGAGGAUUUGAAGAGGAUUCAGUAGG
RNAcentral lists this long non-coding RNA (226 nucleotides) under Ananas comosus (pineapple). RNAcentral describes it as "long non-coding RNA (ACOM_LNC005731)". The record is from RNAcentral. Lineage: Eukaryota; Viridiplantae; Streptophyta; Magnoliopsida; Poales; Bromeliaceae.